GUAGAGUAGGAAUGGCGCGUCAAGUACCGGCGGAUGGGAGGUUGCCGCCGGGCGAAGGAGCGGUCGCUCCGCGAUGCCAUUAUCGCAUCCGCU
RNAcentral lists this non-coding RNA (93 nucleotides) under bovine gut metagenome. RNAcentral describes it as "THF riboswitch". It matches the Rfam family "THF (Tetrahydrofolate) riboswitch aptamer". From Rfam's summary of the family: THF riboswitch presents a pseudoknot that joins P1-P2 and the loop of P3 and two THF binding. The record is from RNAcentral.